UAAUACGUAGGAGGCGAGCGUUAUCCGGAUUUAUUGGGCGUAAAGAGGGCGUAGGCGGUUCUUCAAGUCGGAUGUGAAAUCUCCCGGCUCAACCGGGAGGGGCCAUCCGAUACUGUUGGGCUAGAGGGCAGUAGAGGAAGGUGGAAUUCCCGGUGUAGUGGUGAAAUGCGUAGAUAUCGGGAGGAACACCAGUGGCGAAGGCGGCCUUCUGGGCUGUUUCUGACGCUGAGGCCCAAAAGCGUGGGGAGCGAACAGGAUUAGAUACCCUGGUAGUCCACGCCGUAAACGAUGGAUACUAGGUAUAGGGAGUAUCGACCCUCUCUGUGCCGAAGCUAACGCUUUAAGUAUCCCGCCUGGGGAGUACGGCCGCAAGGCUA
This 377-nucleotide ribosomal RNA is filed under the name uncultured Chloroflexota bacterium. Its description in RNAcentral is "bacterial SSU rRNA". It matches the Rfam family "Bacterial small subunit ribosomal RNA", at positions 521 to 896 of the family's 1533-position model. The record is from RNAcentral. Lineage: Bacteria; Bacillati; Chloroflexota.